AGAGUUUGAUCCUGGCUCAGAUUGAACGCUGGCGGCAUGCUUUACACAUGCAAGUCGAGCGGCAGCGCGGGGGCAACCCUGGCGGCGAGCGGCGAACGGGUGAGUAAUGCAUCGGAACGUAUCCUGUAGUGGGGGAUAACCCAGCGAAAGUUGGGCUAAUACCGCAUGAGCUCUGAGGAGGAAAGCGGGGGACCUGAAAGGGCCUCGCGCUGCCGGAGCGGCCGAUGUCCGAUUAGCUAGUUGGUGGGGUAAAGGCUUACCAAGGCGACGAUCGGUAGCUGGUCUGAGAGGAUGAUCAGCCACACUGGGACUGAGACACGGCCCAGACUCCUACGGGAGGCAGCAGUGGGGAAUUUUGGACAAUGGGGGCAACCCCGAUCCAGCCAUGCCGCGUGAGUGAAGAAGGCCUUCGGGUUGUAAAGCUCUUUCGGACGGAACGAAAUGGGCGGGACUAAUACUCCUGUCCGA
Molecule: ribosomal RNA, 468 nt
Filed under: uncultured organism
Description: bacterial SSU rRNA
Rfam family: Bacterial small subunit ribosomal RNA
Source: RNAcentral